RNAcentral lists this ribosomal RNA (450 nucleotides) under uncultured bacterium. RNAcentral's name for it is "bacterial SSU rRNA". It matches the Rfam family "Bacterial small subunit ribosomal RNA", at positions 354 to 796 of the family's 1533-position model. The record is from RNAcentral.
GUGGGGAAUAUUGGACAAUGGGCGAAAGCCUGAUCCAGCCAUGCCGCGUGUGUGAAGAAGGUCUUCGGAUUGUAAAGCACUUUAAGUUGGGAGGAAGGGCAGUAAGUUAAUACCUUGCUGUUUUGACGUUACCAACAGAAUAAGCACCGGCUAACUUCGUGCCAGCAGCCGCGGUAAUACGAAGGGUGCAAGCGUUAAUCGGAAUUACUGGGCGUAAAGCGCGCGUAGGUGGUUCAGCAAGUUGAAGGUGAAAUCCCCGGGCUCAACCUGGGAACUGCCUCCAAAACUACUGAGCUAGAGUACGGUAGAGGGUAGUGGAAUUUCCUGUGUAGCGGUGAAAUGCGUAGAUAUAGGAAGGAACACCAGUGGCGAAGGCGACUACCUGGACUGAUACUGACACUGAGGUGCGAAAGCGUGGGGAGCAAACAGGAUUAGAAACCCGAGUAGUCC